This 1784-nucleotide ribosomal RNA is filed under the name marine metagenome. Its description in RNAcentral is "bacterial LSU rRNA". It matches the Rfam family "Bacterial large subunit ribosomal RNA", at positions 1 to 1973 of the family's 2925-position model. The record is from RNAcentral.
UCAAGCGUCUUGAAGAGCAUUUGGUGGAUGCCUUGGUACAGAGAGGCGAUGAAGGACGUGACACGCUGCGAUAAGCUGUGGGGAGCCGUGAGUAGGCUUUGAUCCGCAGAUUUCCGAAUGGGGAAACCCAAACCAUUUUGGUUUAUCCCGCAAGGGAGGCAAACCCAGCGAACUGAAAUAUCUAAGUAGCUGGAGGAAAGGACAUCAACCGAGACUCCGUUAGUAGUGACGAGCGAACGCGGACCAGGCCAGUGGCCAAUUUGAAGAUAACCGGAAUAACCUGGAAAGGUUAGCCAUAGUAGGUGAUAGCCCCGUACGGGUAAUACUUCAUUUUGGUCCUUGAGUAGGGCGGGACACGAGAAAUCCUGCUUGAACAUGGGGGGACCACCCUCCAAGCCUAAGUACUACUCUGUGACCGAUAGCGAACAAGUACCGUGAGGGAAAGGUGAAAAGAACCCCUAUGAGGGGAGUGAAACAGACCUGAAACCGAAUGCUUACAAACAGUAGGAGCAACAUUAAGUUGUGACUGCGUACCUUUUGUAUAAUGGGUCAGCGAGUUAAUUUAUCGAGCAAGCUUAAGCCGUUAGGUGUAGGCGAAGCGAAAGCGAGUAUGAAUAGUGCGUUUUAGUUCGAUGGAUUAGACCCGAAACCGGGUGAUCUAGCUAUGGGCAGGUUGAAGGUGCGGUAACACGCACUGGAGGACCGAACCCACGUCUGUUGAAAAAGACGGGGAUGACCUGUGGCUAGGGGUGAAAGGCCAAUCAAACCCGGAGAUAGCUGGUUCUCCGCGAAAACUAUUUAGGUAGUGCGUUAUAUAUUACUGCCGGGGGUAGAGCACUGGAUGGGCUAGGGGGGCGCGAGCCUUACCAAACCUAACCAAACUCCGAAUACCGGUAAGUACAGCAUGGCAGACAGACUAUGGGUGCUAAGGUCCAUAGUCGAGAGGGAAACAGCCCAGACCACCAGCUAAGGUCCCCAAGUUAUGGCUAAGUGGGAAAGGAUGUGGGAAGGCCAAGACAGCCAGGAGGUUGGCUUAGAAGCAGCCAUCCUUUAAAGAAAGCGUAACAGCUCACUGGUCUAAAUAAGCCGGCCUGCGCCGAAGAUGUAACGGGGCUAAAGCCAUACACCGAAGCUGUGGAUGCCGUAAGGCAUGGUAGCGGAGCGUUCUGUAAGCCGCUGAAGGUAACACGUGAGUGUUAUUGGAGGUAUCAGAAGUGAGAAUGCUGACAUGAGUAGCGAUAAAGAGUGUGAGAAACACUCUCGCCGAAAGCCCAAGGGUUCCUGCGCAAGGUUAAUCCACGCAGGGUUAGUCGGCCCCUAAGAUAAGUGCGAAAGCAGUAGUCGAUGGGAACACGGUUAAUAUUCCGUGACCUGAUGGUAGUGACGGAUGGUGUAUAUUGUAAAUGCUUAUCGGAUUGCGUUUGCAGUGAAGCCGUUCCAGGAAAUAGCUCCAUCAUUAAGACCGUACCCGAAACCGACACAGGUGGGCAGGUAGAGAAUACCAAGGCGCUUGGGAGAAUGAUGUUGAAGGAACUCGGCAAAAUGCACCCGUAACUUCGGAAUAAGGGUGGCCUGCUCUGGGCAACCAGAUGCAGGUAGCAUAAAAUAGGGGGUAGCGACUGUUUAUUAAAAACAUAGGGCUCUGCGAAGUGGUAACACGACGUAUAGGGUCCGACGCCUGCCCGGUGCUGGAAGGUUAAGAGGAGUUGUGCAAGCAGCGAAUUGAAGCCCCAGUAAACGGCGGCCGUAACUAUAACGGUCCUAAGGUAGCGAAAUUCCUUGUC